UACAGAGGGUGCGAGCGUUAUUCGGAUUUACUGGGCGUAAAGCGCACGUAGGCGGAUCAGAAAGUUAGGGGUGAAAUCCCGGGGCUCAACCUCGGAACUGCCUCUAAAACUCCUGGUCUUGAGGUCGAGAGAGGUGAGUGGAAUUCCGAGUGUAGAGGUGAAAUUCGUAGAUAUUCGGAGGAACACCAGUGGCGAAGGCGGCUCACUGGCUCGAUACUGACGCUGAGGUGCGAAAGCGUGGGGAGCAAACAGG
This 253-nucleotide ribosomal RNA is filed under the name uncultured Paracoccaceae bacterium. Its description in RNAcentral is "uncultured Rhodobacteraceae bacterium partial 16S ribosomal RNA". It matches the Rfam family "Bacterial small subunit ribosomal RNA", at positions 524 to 776 of the family's 1533-position model. The record is from RNAcentral. Lineage: Bacteria; Pseudomonadati; Pseudomonadota; Alphaproteobacteria; Rhodobacterales; Paracoccaceae.